GAUACAAAGCGAUUGAACCAAGCAGGGAGGAAAUAAAUUGGUUGGUUCCCACUUUUCUCAGUGAAGCAUGUAAAUGUGAUGAAAUGGGACAUAGAGUGGAAAGAGCCUCAGGUUUGUUAUGAGACAGGAGCAUGCUAAAAAGGGAAUCAAAUCUUUUUGGUUAAAAUGAAAUCCUCCUAGCAUUUUUCUCUACCGCAUAAGCCUUGUGUUACUGUCCCACCCAUGUUUAUUAUCCGAGAGGACAUCCAUUUUAAAAAUGAUUUAUUAAGAGAUUCAGGUGUGCACUGUGCACAUUCUAUGAUGGUGCAUGUGUGGUACAGAGAUCUCAUGAUGCAAGCAAGAAGACCACACGGGGUGCUCAGCAAACAGUUUCUUGAGCUGUGUUUUUUUUGAACACGAGGAACGCCAGGCCAGGG
This is a long non-coding RNA of Xenopus laevis (African clawed frog), 416 nucleotides long. RefSeq lists it as uncharacterized. Lineage: Eukaryota; Metazoa; Chordata; Amphibia; Anura; Pipidae. The record is from RefSeq and is a predicted model, not a curated record. The transcript is spliced from 3 exons.